RNAcentral lists this long non-coding RNA (145 nucleotides) under Castor canadensis (American beaver). Its description in RNAcentral is "Myocardial infarction associated transcript exon 5 conserved region 1 (ENSCCNG00000018674.1)". It matches the Rfam family "Myocardial infarction associated transcript exon 5 conserved region 1". From Rfam's summary of the family: MIAT (myocardial infarction associated transcript), also known as RNCR2 (retinal non-coding RNA 2) or Gomafu, is a noncoding RNA. Single nucleotide polymorphisms (SNPs) in MIAT are associated with a risk of myocardial infarction. Lineage: Eukaryota; Metazoa; Chordata; Mammalia; Rodentia; Castoridae. The record is from RNAcentral.
GCAUGGUUCGAUUAACCUACUAACCCCAGGGCUCGGCCGGGAUGCUGUGGUGUGUGUCGAGGUGCUGGGCUUCUGUCGACCAACUAACGCACUAACCAGGCUCCAGCAUGUCCUACUAACCCUGUGCAGUCAGACCCUACUAACU